CGAUAUUCACUUUGUACCAAAACUUCAAUCAGUUGAAUUCUCUAUUCAAUUCAAUUAAAUUCAGUUAAUGUAUUAAUGGAAUUCUCAAUGCAGUUCAGUUAAUCGAGAUGCUCAUACUUGAUGCAACAAAAAUAAGUGGUGACUGAAGAUUGAUUUUCGAUAAGAAUCGGAAAAUUACAGCCCGCACACCUAAAUGGCGUCUGAACAACCUCGAAAGGUCGCGAGAGUUCAAUCGAUUGGAAUUAAGUCAUGGCGUCUUCUUCAAAUCCAGUUCAUCAGAAUGACAAGGGAAAAGCACCAAGAUCGCACUUUCGACCAACAGAUCAAACAAUUACUCGAAUUGUGGAUGGCAUAAACCUGGAGCAGCUAAGAAAAGGAAGUAGAUCUACGCUCCAAAAGAGAAGGCAACUGAUGUGAAGGGUUUUACAACGAUUUGCGGCUAAGUAGCAGUCAUAUGGUAUGCAAACUGCAUGAACAGAUCCUCCUUAUCAGCUGUGAAAGGAACUCAGGAUUGCCAUUCCUUUAAAUGGCAGAAAGUUUUCGAGUAAAACCUGAUACAUCUUGGAAAAGAAUAGUUAGUCAUCUACUUUUGGAGGCAUUUUGACGUUCUCAGGCAAUCUGCUCCAAUGGGAAUGCUUUUGUGGAUGCCAUCUGUAGUUUCUUACUGAAUCUUAAUACUUUUGAUUACCUAAAAAGUAUCACAUGCAUCGCAUUCAAUGCUAAAUAUAUCACUUAUGAGCUAUAAAAAUUGUUGUAUAGGUAAUUUUAUUAUAAUUUUUUAUCAUUGGAUCAUUAUUUU
Non-coding RNA from Sesamum indicum (sesame), 799 nucleotides. NCBI's taxonomy places the organism in Eukaryota, Viridiplantae, Streptophyta, Magnoliopsida, Lamiales, Pedaliaceae. The record is from RefSeq and is a predicted model, not a curated record.